GUAGGUGGCAAGCGUUGUCCGGAAUUAUUGGGCGUAAAGCGCGCGCAGGCGGUUCUUUAAGUCUGAUGUGAAAGCCCACGGCUCAACCGUGGAGGGUCAUUGGAAACUGGAGAACUUGAGUACAGAAGAGGAAAGCGGAAUUCCACGUGUAGCGGUGAAAUGCGUAGAGAUGUGGAGGAACACCAGUGGCGAAGGCGGCUUUUCUGGUCUGUAACUGACGCUGAGGCGCGAAAGCGUGGGGAGCAAACAGGGAUUAGAUACCCUGGUAGUCCACGCCGUAAACGAUGAGUGCUAAGUGUUAGGGGGUUUCCGCCCCCUUAGUGCUGCAGCUAACGCAUUAAGCACUCCGCCUGGGGAUACGGCCGCAAGGCUGA
RNAcentral lists this ribosomal RNA (374 nucleotides) under uncultured organism. RNAcentral describes it as "partial 16S ribosomal RNA". It matches the Rfam family "Bacterial small subunit ribosomal RNA", at positions 527 to 897 of the family's 1533-position model. The record is from RNAcentral.